This 29-nucleotide non-coding RNA is filed under the name Mus musculus (house mouse). Lineage: Eukaryota; Metazoa; Chordata; Mammalia; Rodentia; Muridae. The record is from RNAcentral.
UNGAGGUACAGUAGGAGACAGGCCUGGGA